RNAcentral lists this ribosomal RNA (253 nucleotides) under uncultured prokaryote. RNAcentral's name for it is "partial 16S ribosomal RNA". It matches the Rfam family "Bacterial small subunit ribosomal RNA", at positions 525 to 777 of the family's 1533-position model. The record is from RNAcentral.
ACGUAGGGUGCGAGCGUUAAUCGGAAUUACUGGGCGUAAAGGGCUCGUAGGCGGCCAACUAAGUCGGAUGUGAAAUCCCCAGGCUUAACUUGGGAACUGCAUCCGAUACUGGAUGGCUUGAAUUCGGGAGAGGGAUGCAGAAUUCCAGGUGUAGCGGUGAAAUGCGUAGAUAUCUGGAGGAAUACCGGUGGCGAAGGCGGCAUCCUGGACCGACAUUGACGCUGAGGAGCGAAAGCCAGGGGAGCAAACGGGA